CCCUUAGAUGUUCUGGGCCGCACACGCGCUACACUGAUGCAUUCAACGAGCACCCGCUGGGCCGAGAGGUCCGGCUAAUCUUUGAACGUGCAUCGUGCUGGGGAUAGAUGAUUGCAAUUAUUCAUCUUCAACGAGGAAUUCCUAGUAAACGCAAGUCAUCAGCUUGCAUUGAUUACGUCCCUGCCCUUUGUACACACCGCCCGUCGCACCUACCGAUUGAAUGGUCCGGUGAAAUUCUCGGACGCGGACUUGCGAUGUUAAUUCGGAGCUUGACUGUGAAAGUUAAUUAAACCUUACCAUUUAGAGGAAGGUGAAGUCGUAACA
RNAcentral lists this ribosomal RNA (324 nucleotides) under uncultured eukaryote. Its description in RNAcentral is "partial 18S ribosomal RNA". It matches the Rfam family "Eukaryotic small subunit ribosomal RNA", at positions 1470 to 1796 of the family's 1831-position model. The record is from RNAcentral.